RNAcentral lists this long non-coding RNA (885 nucleotides) under Homo sapiens (human). RNAcentral describes it as "long independently transcribed non-coding RNA 305 (LINC00305)". The record is from RNAcentral. Lineage: Eukaryota; Metazoa; Chordata; Mammalia; Primates; Hominidae.
AAUGAUGGACUCUGAUUUCCACACCCCUUUCCUGUGAACUUGUCUCCAAUUUAGUCUGUCAAGGUCCCUUUCUUGUGAGUUAAUUUCUCCCUAGUGCUACUUCUCAGAUUGGCCAGUGACUCACAGAGUGGCACAAGUACAAAUCCAGCCUGCCUUGCAUCCAACACAGAUUCCAGGACCACUGAAACCAGCUGAGGCAUCCUGAAAGCCUAAGAUUGACCACACCAGAGGAACCAGACUGCCCUUCACAAGGAUGGAAAUUAUCUGGUUCCACCCCUGGAUAUGAUCAACCUUCAUAGACUGUGCAUUAUACAUGCCAUCUCUGCGACCUGCAAAGAUGAAAAGGGAAAGCAGGAGAUGGAAACUGGUCAGCAGCCUUCUGGUUUAUCAGCCACACUUACAAAGGUCAAAUGUGCAAAGCGUCAGAAGACAGUGGUUAGAGUGAGAUUCUACAUGCUCUCAAUGAAGAAUAAAGCAUGCAGGAAGAACCUUUCAAAAGGUUACAACCAGAGACCUGAAGGAAGCAAGGAAGAAAGCCACAUGGUUGUCAAAGAGAAGAGGAAAGGAGAUCACUAAGCUGGAUGACGUUUUCUGUUUCUUUGAAAACAGAGAAGAUGACAAGUUAGGGAGAGAUCAGAGGUCAUACUGUGAAGCACCUUUGGAUAAACGGCAGGGACUUUGGAUUUUCUUUUUGAAUAUAAGCAUAAUCCAUUGAAAGGUCUCAUGCAGGGAAGUGGCAAAACACUUUUAAAAUUUUUCAUCUUUUCUUUCUGAAGCAGAGUUCACUCUCCAUUUAUUUGUCUUCUUUGAUAUCUCUCAAUAGAAUGUUGCAGUUUUAGUAUUCUCCUAUUAAACAUUUGUUUAACUUUAAAAAAAAAAAAAAAA